GACAGAGGAUGCAAGCGUUAUCCGGAAUGAUUGGGCGUAAAGCGUCUGUAGGUGGCUUUUUAAGUUCGCCGUCAAAUCCCAGGGCUCAACCCUGGACAGGUGGUGGAAACUACCAAGCUAGAGUACGGUAGGGGCAGAGGGAAUUUCCGGUGGAGCGAUGAAAUGCGUAGAGAUCGGAAGGAACACCCAAGGCGAAAGCACUCUGCUGGGCCGACACUGACACUGAGAGACGAAAGCUAGGGGAGCAAAUGGG
Molecule: ribosomal RNA, 253 nt
Filed under: uncultured bacterium
Lineage: Bacteria
Description: partial 16S ribosomal RNA
Rfam family: Bacterial small subunit ribosomal RNA
Source: RNAcentral